CAUUUCUAUCGACUCUACACACCCUAAACCUUACCUUCCUUUUUUCCUCCUUCCAAUUUCACUUGCCAAACACUGUACUGUAAUCUCCAUUCUCCAAAACAUAACUCUGUCCAUACCCUCGCAUGGCUUCUUCCGCCUAAAACACUUGAUGAUCGCUUAACAUCUACUGUUUGUAGGUACUGCUGGAGCCUUUAGUAUUUUUAUUAUCAAUACAAGAAAUCUACUGGUCCAAAACAUGUCCAAGGAUCAGCCUUCUCUGGCCGUAGAUGAAAAUGUGGUUGAUCCUUCAAGGGCUGCUAUUGCUAUUGGGUCUUUAGGGGUUGAUGAUUCACCCAUCGCUUGUCCUUCUCAGACACAGUCAGUCUACCAUGGAGGUAAUGGAAAUAUGGUUGGCACAUGGGGUACAUGCCUUCCAGAUGUUAAUGCUGAAGGCUUGGAAAAUAGUUCUUAUGGCAUCUACGAUGAUUCUUCAUCACUUCCAUUUCAUGGCCAUGGGUACACUCCUCAAAUGCCACAGAGGCCAUUUGCCUCAUUCACAACACCUCCCCCUUCUGUAAAUUGUCUUGGCCCUCUAUACAAUGUCCAAGAGUUACCAAACUCAGAUGCACCUUUCUACGAACAAUUCAUGACACCAAAUGUUCCUAACAUUGCUUCACAAACCGCACUUUCUUCUGCU
Molecule: unclassified non-coding RNA, 676 nt
Filed under: Hevea brasiliensis (rubber tree)
Lineage: Eukaryota; Viridiplantae; Streptophyta; Magnoliopsida; Malpighiales; Euphorbiaceae
Source: RNAcentral